AGCGGUGUUAUGGAGCAAAACGUGUGUUCAUUAUUCUGCUUAACUGCUGGACUUGGAUUAAGAGAGGCAGAGCAUAGAGGCUAGUUUGGAGAGUUUCACAAGUACAGUAAUCCCCUGAGCUUAAAGAAGAGGGACCGCAGCAAAGAAGGUGCAAAGACCAUUUGGAAGGGAUCCAGUGUCCCAGAGCCAGCUAGCUUCCAGCACUACCUUGCUAUAGCACCAGCACCUUGUGGCACUUAAUCCAUCUCCAUAGGGGGAAGCAAGGACAGCCCCGGCAGCCAAUAGCAGCGGGAGUGAGAGAGGAACUUCCUCCCUCAACUACAGUUGCAGAAAGGGGAGACCGCGGUGCCAGUGUUUGGACGUAAUGCUUGCACCACUGAACUGGAUGUCCAGGCAGCGGACCUCACUACAAACCAAAGGUAGCAGUCACAAGCCACAAAUUCAUAGCACCAUAUGGAUAAGUCCCAAGCUGCAAAAGUCUACUCUAGAUGGCUUAAUUGAUCUACUAUACAGCUCCUACUCCUGUGGAUUACAGCAAAUGCCAAUUAAUGCUAUGCUGAACACUGUACAAUUACAACUGA
Hemicordylus capensis (graceful crag lizard) is the source of this 581-nucleotide long non-coding RNA. RefSeq lists it as uncharacterized. The transcript is spliced from 4 exons. Lineage: Eukaryota; Metazoa; Chordata; Lepidosauria; Squamata; Cordylidae. The record is from RefSeq and is a predicted model, not a curated record.